This is a non-coding RNA of Camellia sinensis, 234 nucleotides long. NCBI's taxonomy places the organism in Eukaryota, Viridiplantae, Streptophyta, Magnoliopsida, Ericales, Theaceae. The record is from RefSeq and is a predicted model, not a curated record.
CAUGCUUCUUAGAUAAUAAUUGAUGAUGAUGUGAUAGUGAAAUAUUGGUGUUAACUUUGGUUUGUUCGUUGUGAUGUUCAGGAGAUAGUGAUGUCACAGAAAAACCAGUAGACCCGAUUAAAGUUUACUCUGAGAGAUAUGCAGUUGUUCCUGAUGACAACGUCAAAAGGAUAAAUUUUGCCGAGGGGAAGAUCUGAUUCUAGAAGUAAGGAAUUUGCAGCUUGAUUUUUGAAA